This 577-nucleotide ribosomal RNA is filed under the name Cortinarius flexipes. RNAcentral's name for it is "eukaryotic LSU rRNA". It matches the Rfam family "Eukaryotic large subunit ribosomal RNA", at positions 1 to 574 of the family's 3401-position model. Lineage: Eukaryota; Fungi; Basidiomycota; Agaricomycetes; Agaricales; Cortinariaceae. The record is from RNAcentral.
GUGACCUCAAAUCAGGUAGGACUACCCGCUGAACUUAAGCAUAUCAAUAAGCGGAGGAAAAGAAACUAACAAGGAUUCCCCUAGUAACUGCGAGUGAAGCGGGAAAAGCUCAAAUUUAAAAUCUGGCGGUCUUUUGGCUGUCCGAGUUGUAAUCUAGAGAAGUGUUAUCCGUGCUGGACCGUGUACAAGUCUCCUGGAAUGGAGCAUCAUAGAGGGUGAGAAUCCCGUCUUUGACAUGGACUACCAGUGCUUUUGUGAUGCGCUCUCAAAGAGUCGAGUUGUUUGGGAAUGCAGCUCAAAAUGGGUGGUAAAUUCCAUCUAAAGCUAAAUAUUGGCGAGAGACCGAUAGCGAACAAGUACCGUGAGGGAAAGAUGAAAAGAACUUUGGAAAGAGAGUUAAACAGUACGUGAAAUUGCUGAAAGGGAAACGCUUGAAGUCAGUCGCGUCAUCCAGGGAUCAACCUUGCUUUUGCUUGGUGCACUUUCUGGUUUGAUGGGUCAGCAUCAAUUUUGACCAUUGGAAAAAGGCCAAGGGAAUGUGGCAUCUUUGGAUGUGUUAUAGCCCUUGGUCACAUAC